Molecule: small nucleolar RNA, 89 nt
Organism: Gavia stellata (red-throated loon)
Lineage: Eukaryota; Metazoa; Chordata; Aves; Gaviiformes; Gaviidae
Product: small nucleolar SNORD12/SNORD106
Exons: 1
Source: RefSeq, a predicted model, not a curated record
GCUGGUGGAGGUGAUGACAAUUUUUUCCCCGUCAGAGCGACAGUGUUGAUUUCUCACUGUUCAAGCCAGAUUGUGUCUGACACACCAGC